RNAcentral lists this ribosomal RNA (456 nucleotides) under uncultured bacterium. Its description in RNAcentral is "bacterial SSU rRNA". It matches the Rfam family "Bacterial small subunit ribosomal RNA", at positions 28 to 475 of the family's 1533-position model. The record is from RNAcentral.
GAUGAACGCUAGCGGCAGGCUUAAUACAUGCAAGUCGAGGGGCAGCGGGGGUAGCAAUACCUGCCGGCGACCGGCAAACGGGUGCGGAACACGUACGCAACCUUCCCAGAACUGGUGAAUAGCCCUCCGAAAGGAGGAUUAAUACACCGUACCAUAUGGAUGUGGCAUCACAACCAUAUUAUAGUAGCAAUACGGUUCUGGAUGGGCGUGCGGCUGAUUAGGUAGUUGGCGGGGUAACGGCCCACCAAGCCUUCGAUCAGUAACUGGUGUGAGAGCACGACCAGUCACACGGGCACUGAGACACGGGCCCGACUCCUACGGGAGGCAGCAGUAAGGAAUAUUGGUCAAUGGGACGCAAGUCUGAACCAGCCAUGCCGCGUGAAGGGAUGAAGGCCCUCUGGGUUGUAAACUUCUUUUAUCUGGGACGAAAAAGGGCAUUCUUGCUCACUUUGACGG